UCGGCUUGUUUUAAGCUCAAGCUCGGCUAGUUUAGAAAACAAGCCAAGCCUCGAACAACACAACUACUCUAGUGAGCUUUAGGUUUAGGGUUAUGAAGUUCCUAGUGGUUGUAUAUCUUCUUGUUCUCCAAAGGAUGCGCAUGUAGAUAGGGGUGUAGAUGAAUCGAACCGAGCCUGAGCUUUGAAGAGCUCGGGCUUGGCUUGUCAA
This 208-nucleotide unclassified non-coding RNA is filed under the name Hevea brasiliensis (rubber tree). Lineage: Eukaryota; Viridiplantae; Streptophyta; Magnoliopsida; Malpighiales; Euphorbiaceae. The record is from RNAcentral.